Molecule: non-coding RNA, 121 nt
Organism: Picea glauca (white spruce)
Lineage: Eukaryota; Viridiplantae; Streptophyta; Pinopsida; Pinales; Pinaceae
Source: Rfam
ACAUGCAUACAACAUAGCGUUAAUGCACCGAAUCCCAUUAGAACUUUGCAGUUAAGCGUGCUCAGGCUAGAGUAGUACUGGGAUGGGUGACCUCCCGAGAAGUCCUAUUGUUUUGCAUGCC